RNAcentral lists this ribosomal RNA (460 nucleotides) under uncultured bacterium. Its description in RNAcentral is "partial 16S ribosomal RNA". It matches the Rfam family "Bacterial small subunit ribosomal RNA", at positions 338 to 795 of the family's 1533-position model. The record is from RNAcentral.
CCUACGGGAGGCAGCAGUGAGGAAUAUUGGUCAAUGGGCGAGAGCCUGAACCAGCCAAGUCGCGUGAAGGAUGACGGCCCUACGGGUUGUAAACUUCUUUUGUCAGGGAGCAAUUGAGUCCACGUGUGGGCUUAGCGAGAGUACCUGAAGAAAAAGCAUCGGCUAACUCCGUGCCAGCAGCCGAGGUAAUACGGAGGAUGCGCGCGUUGUCCGGAUUUAUUGGGGUUAAAGGGUUAGUAGGCGGAAUAUCAAGUCAGGGGUAAAAAUUCGGGGCUCAACCCCGUCGUGCCGUUGAAACUGAUGUUCUUGCGUGGGCGAGAUGUAUGCGGAAUGCGUGGUGUAGCGGUGAAAUGCAUAGAUAUCACGCAGAACUCCGAUUGCGAAGGCAGCAUACCGGCGCCCAACUGACGCUGAAGCACGAAAGCGUGGGUAUCGAACAGGAGUAGAUACCCGGGUAGUC